This 253-nucleotide ribosomal RNA is filed under the name uncultured bacterium. Its description in RNAcentral is "partial 16S ribosomal RNA". It matches the Rfam family "Bacterial small subunit ribosomal RNA", at positions 524 to 776 of the family's 1533-position model. The record is from RNAcentral.
GACGAACCGUGCGAACGUUGUUCGGAUUCACUGGGCUUAAAGGGCGCGUAGGCGGACUCGCAAGUCUGUGGUGAAAGCCCCCAGCUCAACUGGGGAAGUGCCGUGGAUACUGCAAGUCUGGAGGAGGGUAGGGGCAUCUGGAACGCUGGGUGGAGCGGUGAAAUGCGUUGAUAUCCAGCGGAACUCCGGUGGCGAAGGCGAGGUGCUGGACCCUUUCUGACGCUGAGGCGCGAAAGCCAGGGGAGCAAACGGG